GGCUUUGAAGUAUAUAUUACGUUGAAUUGCAAAUUCAAAAAAGUAGCUUAAGUGCUGCCGGAGCU
This 65-nucleotide transfer RNA is filed under the name Planigale sp. AJ-2010. RNAcentral's name for it is "transfer RNA-Cys". Lineage: Eukaryota; Metazoa; Chordata; Mammalia; Dasyuromorphia; Dasyuridae. The record is from RNAcentral.